CCCUUAGAUGUUCUGGGCCGCACGCGCGCUACACUGACGAAGUCAGCGAGCAUGUCCUACGCCGACAGGUUCGGGGAAUCUUGUCAAACUUCGUCGUGAUGGGGAUUGAUUUUUGAAAUUCUUGAUCAUAAACGAGGAAUUCCUAGUAAGCGCAAGUCAGCAGCUUGCGUUGAUUACGUCCCUGCCCUUUGUACACACCGCCCGUCGCUACUACCGAUUGAAUGGUUUAGUGAGAUCUUCGGAUUGGCGCCACUGCAGCUCAGCAAUGGGCUUGGUGGAUGCCGAAAAGUUGAUCAAACUUGAUCAUUUAGAGGAAGUAAAAGUCGUAACA
Molecule: ribosomal RNA, 331 nt
Filed under: uncultured eukaryote
Lineage: Eukaryota
Description: partial 18S ribosomal RNA
Rfam family: Eukaryotic small subunit ribosomal RNA
Source: RNAcentral